AAAUUGAAGAGUUUGAUCAUGGCUCAGAUUGAACGCUGGCGGCAGGCCUAACACAUGCAAGUCGAGCGGAAACGAGUUAUCUGAACCUUCGGGGAACGAUAACGGCGUCGAGCGGCGGACGGGUGAGUAAUGCCUAGGAAAUUGCCCUGAUGUGGGGGAUAACCAUUGGAAACGAUGGCUAAUACCGCAUAAUGCCUACGGGCCAAAGAGGGGGACCUUCGGGCCUCUCGCGUCAGGAUAUGCCUAGGUGGGAUUAGCUAGUUGGUGAGGUAAUGGCUCACCAAGGCGACGAUCCCUAGCUGGUCUGAGAGGAUGAUCAGCCACACUGGAACUGAGACACGGUCCAGACUCCUACGGGAGGCAGCAGUGGGGAAUAUUGCACAAUGGGCGCAAGCCUGAUGCAGCCAUGCCGCGUGUGUGAAGAAGGCCUUCGGGUUGUAAAGCACUUUCAGUCGUGAGGAAGGUAGUGUAGUUAAUAGCUGCAUUAUUUGACGUUAGCGACAGAAGAAGCACCGGCUAACUCCGUGCCAGCAGCCGCGGUAAUACGGAGGGUGCGAGCGUUAAUCGGAAUUACUGGGCGUAAAGCGCAUGCAGGUGGUUUGUUAAGUCAGAUGUGAAAGCCCGGGGCUCAACCUCGGAAUAGCAUUUGAAACUGGCAGACUAGAGUACUGUAGAGGGGGGUAGAAUUUCAGGUGUAGCGGUGAAAUGCGUAGAGAUCUGAAGGAAUACCGGUGGCGAAGGCGGCCCCCUGGACAGAUACUGACACUCAGAUGCGAAAGCGUGGGGAGCAAACAGGAUUAGAUACCCUGGUAGUCCACGCCGUAAACGAUGUCUACUUGGAGGUUGUGGCCUUGAGCCGUGGCUUUCGGAGCUAACGCGUUAAGUAGACCGCCUGGGGAGUACGGUCGCAAGAUUAAAACUCAAAUGAAUUGACGGGGGCCCGCACAAGCGGUGGAGCAUGUGGUUUAAUUCGAUGCAACGCGAAGAACCUUACCUACUCUUGACAUCCAGAGAACUUUCCAGAGAUGGAUUGGUGCCUUCGGGAACUCUGAGACAGGUGCUGCAUGGCUGUCGUCAGCUCGUGUUGUGAAAUGUUGGGUUAAGUCCCGCAACGAGCGCAACCCUUAUCCUUGUUUGCCAGCGAGUAAUGUCGGGAACUCCAGGGAGACUGCCGGUGAUAAACCGGAGGAAGGUGGGGACGACGUCAAGUCAUCAUGGCCCUUACGAGUAGGGCUACACACGUGCUACAAUGGCGCAUACAGAGGGCAGCAAGCUAGCGAUAGUGAGCGAAUCCCAAAAAGUGCGUCGUAGUCCGGAUUGGAGUCUGCAACUCGACUCCAUGAAGUCGGAAUCGCUAGUAAUCGUGGAUCAGAAUGCCACGGUGAAUACGUUCCCGGGCCUUGUACACACCGCCCGUCACACCAUGGGAGUGGGCUGCAAAAGAAGUAGGUAGUUUAACCUUCGGGAGGACGCUUACCACUUUGUGGUUCAUGACUGGGGUGAAGUCGUAACAAGGUAGCGCUAGGGGAACCUGGCGCUGGAUCACCUCCUUA
RNAcentral lists this ribosomal RNA (1553 nucleotides) under Vibrio owensii. RNAcentral's name for it is "bacterial SSU rRNA". It matches the Rfam family "Bacterial small subunit ribosomal RNA". Lineage: Bacteria; Pseudomonadati; Pseudomonadota; Gammaproteobacteria; Vibrionales; Vibrionaceae. RNAcentral also lists the same sequence under 1 other name. The record is from RNAcentral.